AUUCAAAGGGAUCUUAGAGAAGACCGUGUUGUCAUCACGGAUAAAUUGGUCAUUAAAGCUUGAUGAGGCGUUCCCAUGGAUUUCACAUCGUUUAAAUUGGUGUAUGGGAAGUCUUGCCACUUACCGGUUGAAAUAGAGCCCAACGCGUUUUGGGCGCUAAAAUUCCUUAAUACGCACUUCCUUUAGCGAAAUAUCUAUCACUCCCACUUUUCCAAUUUCAUUCUCCCUCUCCCAUACUUCCAAAACCCUAAUACCAAAUUUUAUUCACUUUCCCCCAAAUUGAAACCUUAAUCUCUACCACCCAUAACUCAAUCGAAGAAUUCCCCCAAUUUCAUUUUCUAAUUUCAAUUUAAGCUAUCACCAACAAUUUCAUUCGGUUCACUCUCUAGCUCGACCCAUUCCGUUUUCACACUCGACCAACAAUCUCAUUCGGUUCACUAUCAUUAAGCUCUCGUUUUCAACAAAUUUCUGCUGGGUUCACUCUCUAGCUCGACCCAUUCAGUUUUUCAACAGAUUUCCACUGCGUUCUUGAUCUCAUUUCACAGAUUUUUCAGAUUUCCACUGGGCUCUUGUUCUCGUUUCACAAAUUUUCAAGAUAUGAGUGAAAGAGAAAAGUUUGAGCUUGAUAGAAAGGAGGAUCCUUUAGAUUGGAGGUUUGUUUGUAUCCUUUUUGUGUCCUCUAAUCAAGCUGGUAUAUAUGGACUCCACAAUGUCUGUUGAGAAGUUUAUGAAAGGGAUGUGGCUAAACUAAGUGAAGAGCAGUCCGAGGUUAGAGAGAUGAUACAAAUUUGAUACUCAUGAGCAGAACCAUGAUGUUGUUGCUGGUACCUAAAGGAAGCAAAAUAACAGGGUUAUUGUCCCUUUUGCAGAGCCGUUGUGCACAUAUUUGAUACGGUGGGAGCAUUGGUGCUUGAUGUUUUCAUGCAUGAACCUGAAGAAGUGGUAAGUCACGUGUUGAUGGCGAUAUGGGGCAUAUGGUAGAAUCAAACAAAUUGGAUAUGGAACCAGAAAAAAAAAAAUCACUGGCUGUUGAGAUUAUAAAUUCAGUUCUAGUUUUGUGUUAUGAGUGGAAGGCGGUUUAGAACAAUGAUGCCAAUGACCCAAAAUCUAGCUAUGCAACAUUGGCUUGAGUUGUUAUCCAUAGUUACUUAUAUUUGUGUUCCUGCUGCAAGAAGUGUUUAGUUUAGAUCGGUGGUAGUCUCAACAUCCUUUUUGGGCAGCAAAUGAGAACGCGUAGUAAAAUGCAAUUAAUCGGGAAAGGCUAACGGUCCCUCAUACAUGUGUUGCUUAGCACCAGUACUUGAGUUGGUUGCACGUGUUGCUGAUGUUACUCCUCUUCCUCCUUGUCUAUUUUUAAUGCCCUUACUUGUUCUCCCAACAUUCCAUCUCCGGCACUCCAAAUUUCAGCAUCAUCGCUGACAACAGCUGGUGAAAAUUUGUCAUUUCCUAGAACAAUUGCAAGCUGAAAUGCAAACCAACUCAAUUUGAGAAUGAAGCAUUUGUCAAAGGGUUUGGAAAGGGACAUGUUGGAUAUGUCAAUUUGCGAAUGAAGCAUUUGUCAAAUUAUUUGGAAAGACAUUCAUCUGAGUCUAGCUAUCGUCUUGAGGAUCAUGGAGCAACUUGAUUAAGGGAUACCUAGAUAUUUUUAUAUAGUUUUUAACUCUGAUACAAUAGUUUUGAACGUCUAGGCGACUUAAAUUUCCACUAGUGUUUUGGUUUUUGAAUGUUUAAACCAUGUACUUUAUCUAUUGUUUUGAUUGUUACUAUUAAAAUAAUUAUAUUUAUGGGAUUUAGAAAUUUUUAGUUA
Medicago truncatula (barrel medic) is the source of this 1807-nucleotide long non-coding RNA. RefSeq lists it as uncharacterized. The record is from RefSeq and is a predicted model, not a curated record. The transcript is spliced from 7 exons. NCBI's taxonomy places the organism in Eukaryota, Viridiplantae, Streptophyta, Magnoliopsida, Fabales, Fabaceae.